CUUACCUCCCCUGGUUGCGUCCGUUGCCCUCCCGACGAACUUAAUUCGGCCGGCCGCGUACGACCGCAGGGAAGGGUAACUUUCCGUGGGUUAGUAGGCGGGUAAGAAAUGGCGUAAGGAGAUCGAAGGGAAAGAACAGUUCGGGUGGACGGAAGGCGCUCUGCGUCGGACCAAUACUGACACCUGACGGGAACGAANCGGUAGGGNGACAGUGGUAUAGACCACCCAGGUCUCACGACCGUAAACAGUGAUACGUAGGUUGUUGUCUGUAUCCGGACCGACAGCGCGAGACACGUAGUUAAUCUCCCNCGGUGGGAGCGCNCANAGUGANAACUAGAAAGUAUGGACGGGGCCCGCACAAGCGGUGGAGUAUGUGGUUUAAUUCGAUGCAACGCGAAGAACCUUACCAGGACUUGACAU
RNAcentral lists this unclassified non-coding RNA (420 nucleotides) under uncultured Chroococcidiopsis sp. RNAcentral's name for it is "partial contains 16S ribosomal RNA, 16S-23S ribosomal RNA intergenic spacer, and 23S ribosomal RNA". The stretch from base 313 to 420 matches the Rfam family "Bacterial small subunit ribosomal RNA", at positions 875 to 987 of the family's 1533-position model. The record is from RNAcentral. Lineage: Bacteria; Bacillati; Cyanobacteriota; Cyanophyceae; Chroococcidiopsidales; Chroococcidiopsidaceae.